GAGCGGCUGUUGAACUAGUACCGACCUUUGAUAAUUACCCAACAGACAGUUCGUGUAUUCAAGUUCAAAUAGCCGCAUUUG
This 81-nucleotide microRNA precursor is filed under the name Echinococcus granulosus. Its description in RNAcentral is "microRNA egr-mir-10272 precursor". Lineage: Eukaryota; Metazoa; Platyhelminthes; Cestoda; Cyclophyllidea; Taeniidae. The record is from miRBase by way of RNAcentral.